Molecule: ribosomal RNA, 426 nt
Filed under: uncultured bacterium
Lineage: Bacteria
Description: partial 16S ribosomal RNA
Rfam family: Bacterial small subunit ribosomal RNA
Source: RNAcentral
GUGAGGAAUUUUCCGUAAUGGGCGAAAGCCUGACGGAGCAAUGCCGCGUGAAGGAUGAAGGCCUAUGGGUUGUAAACUUCUUUUCUCAGAAAAGAAUUAUGACGGUAUCUGAGGAAUAAGCAUCGGCUAACUCUGUGCCAGCAGCCGCGGUAAGACAGAGGAUGCAAGCGUUAUCCGGAAUGAUUGGGCGUAAAGCGUCUGUAGGUUGUUUAAAAAGUAUUCUGUCAAAGAUUAGGGCUUAACCCUAGAUAGGCAGAAUAAACUUUUAAGCUAGAGUUUGGUAGGGGCAGAGGGAAUUCCCGGUGGAGCGGUGAAAUGCGUAGAUAUCGGGAGGAACACCAAAGGCGAAGGCACUCUGCUGGGCCAAUACUAACACUGAGAGACGAAAGCGAGGGGAGCAAAUGGGAUUAGAUACCCGUGUAGUCC